RNAcentral lists this ribosomal RNA (465 nucleotides) under uncultured bacterium. RNAcentral describes it as "partial 16S ribosomal RNA". It matches the Rfam family "Bacterial small subunit ribosomal RNA", at positions 338 to 795 of the family's 1533-position model. The record is from RNAcentral.
CCUACGGGGUGCAGCAGUGGGGAAUAUUGCGCAAUGGGCGAAAGCCUGACGCAGCGACGCCGCGUGAGGGAUGAAGGUCUUCGGAUCGUAAACCUCUGUCAGCAGGGAAGAACGGUCACUGUGCCAAUCAGCAGUGAAUUGACGGUACCUGCAAAGGAAGCACCGGCUAACUCCGUGCCAGCAGCCGCGGUAAUACGGAGGGUGCGAGCGUUAAUCGGAAUUACUGGGCGUAAAGCGCUCGUAGGCGGUAUGUCAAGUCAAGGGGGAAAUCCCCGCGCUCAACGUGGGAACUGCCUUUGAAACUGGUAAACUGGAGUGUGUGAGAGGAUAGUGGAAUUCCAGGUGUAGGAGUGAAAUCCGUAGAUAUCUGGAGGAACAUCAGUGGCGAAGGCGACUAUCUGGCACAUAACUGACGCUGAGGAGCGAAAGCGUGGGUAGCAAACAGGAUUAGAUACCCUUGUAGUC